This 112-nucleotide ribosomal RNA is filed under the name Caerostris extrusa. The record is from RNAcentral. Lineage: Eukaryota; Metazoa; Arthropoda; Arachnida; Araneae; Araneidae.
AACGGCCAUAUCAUGCUGAAUAUACCGGUUCUCGCUAGAUCACCGAAGUCAAGUAUCAUUGGGCGCGGUCAGUAUUUGGGAAGGUGACCACCUGGGAACAUCGCGCCGUUGG